This 253-nucleotide ribosomal RNA is filed under the name uncultured bacterium. RNAcentral's name for it is "partial 16S ribosomal RNA". It matches the Rfam family "Bacterial small subunit ribosomal RNA", at positions 524 to 776 of the family's 1533-position model. The record is from RNAcentral.
UACGAAGGGGGCUAGCGUUGCUCGGAAUCACUGGGCGUAAAGCGCACGUAGGCGGCUUUUUAAGUCAGGGGUGAAAUCCUGGAGCUCAACUCCAGAACUGCCUUUGAUACUGAAGAUCUUGAGUUCGGGAGAGGUGAGUGGAACUGCGAGUGUAGAGGUGAAAUUCGUAGAUAUUCGGAGGAACACCAGUGGCGAAGGCGGCUCACUGGUCCAUUACUGACGCUGAGGUGCGAAAGCGUGGGGAGCAAACAGG